CAAUUAUCCAGAGUGACCGAGGGAUCAGGCCCUAUGACGUCCGGCAACCUCCAGAAAUGGAACGGUGCUAAUUCCUGCAGAAUGAUUUCAUUCUGAGAGAUAAGUC
RNAcentral lists this non-coding RNA (106 nucleotides) under Rossellomorea vietnamensis. Its description in RNAcentral is "Bacillus vietnamensis SAM-I sequence". It matches the Rfam family "SAM riboswitch aptamer (S box leader)". From Rfam's summary of the family: The SAM riboswitch is found upstream of a number of genes which code for proteins involved in methionine or cysteine biosynthesis in Gram-positive bacteria. The SAM riboswitch acts at the level of transcription termination control. The predicted structure consists of a complex stem-loop region followed by a single stem loop terminator region. Lineage: Bacteria; Bacillati; Bacillota; Bacilli; Caryophanales; Bacillaceae. The record is from Rfam by way of RNAcentral.